UAACGGUGGAGUCUCAGUUGGACGGAGCCUGAUUCAUGUGGUGAGUUUACUCAUCUGAGGAUCCCACAGAACAUCACCAAUGGCUUUCCUCCGCACUGUGUUGCUGGUUCUCCUGUUGGCAAAGUCCUGUGGUAAACGGAGAUGUGACUACAGAGAAAUACUGGGCUCCUACACAGAGAUUAUCUUCGUCGAACUACGGAAUCUGAACUUGACUGGCUCUUCAAACUCCUUCAAGAGAGACCCAUGUCCUUCAUCCAAGGCAAAUCGAAUCCUGACCUCCAUCUACAGUGUGUCCCAGCAGAUACGGUGUCAGAGCACUGAAAAGGAGUCCGACUUGGAGCUACCAGUGGGGAGAAUGGAGC
This 362-nucleotide long non-coding RNA is filed under the name Gouania willdenowi (blunt-snouted clingfish). RNAcentral describes it as "lncRNA (ENSGWIG00000008094.1)". The record is from RNAcentral. Lineage: Eukaryota; Metazoa; Chordata; Actinopteri; Blenniiformes; Gobiesocidae.